Molecule: non-coding RNA, 31 nt
Filed under: Rattus norvegicus (Norway rat)
Lineage: Eukaryota; Metazoa; Chordata; Mammalia; Rodentia; Muridae
Source: RNAcentral
UGCCAGUAUCCUGGUGUGUGGUCAUUGGUUU